GGUGAACGCUGGCGGCGUGGAUGAGGCAUGCAAGUCGAAUGGGUUUAGACCCAUGGCGGACGAGGUAGGAACACGUAGGUACAUACCCUAAAGUCACGGAUAACCCGGCGAAAGUCGGAAUAAUACGUGAUAGUCCCUUCGGGGUAAAGAUUUAUCGCUUUAGGAAUGGCCUGCGUUCUAUCAGCUUGUUGGUAAGGUAACGGCUUACCAAGGCUACGACGGAUAGGGGAGGUGAGAGCCUGACCCCCACCGAUGGAACUGCGACACGGUCCAUACUCCUACGGGAGGCUGCAGUCGAGAAUCUUCCGCAAUGGACGAAAAGUCUGACGGAGCGACGCCGCGUGGUGGAUGAAGUCCUUUAGGGACGGUAAAACACCUUUUAUGGAGGAGGAAGUUUAUUGACGUUACUCCAUGAAUAAAGGGG
This 424-nucleotide ribosomal RNA is filed under the name uncultured bacterium. RNAcentral's name for it is "bacterial SSU rRNA". It matches the Rfam family "Bacterial small subunit ribosomal RNA", at positions 28 to 494 of the family's 1533-position model. The record is from RNAcentral.